UGGCUCAGUUGGUAGAGCAUGAUGCUUGCAACGCUCAGGGUUGUGGGUUCAAUUCCCAC
This 59-nucleotide transfer RNA is filed under the name Salmo salar (Atlantic salmon). It matches the Rfam family "tRNA", at positions 8 to 63 of the family's 71-position model. From Rfam's summary of the family: Transfer RNA (tRNA) molecules are approximately 80 nucleotides in length. Their secondary structure includes four short double-helical elements and three loops (D, anti-codon, and T loops). The record is from Rfam by way of RNAcentral. RNAcentral also lists the same sequence under 1 other name. Lineage: Eukaryota; Metazoa; Chordata; Actinopteri; Salmoniformes; Salmonidae.